Molecule: unclassified non-coding RNA, 350 nt
Filed under: soil metagenome
Description: partial contains 5.8S ribosomal RNA, internal transcribed spacer 2, and large subunit ribosomal RNA
Rfam family: 5.8S ribosomal RNA (bases 1-120)
Source: RNAcentral
GAUGAAGAACGCAGCGAAAUGCGAUAAGUAAUGUGAAUUGCAGAAUUCAGUGAAUCAUCGAAUCUUUGAACGCACAUUGCGCCCGCCAGUAUUCUGGCGGGCAUGCCUGUUCGAGCGUCAUUUCAACCCUCAAGCCCAGCUUGGUGUUGGGGAUCGGCACAGGCGCCCUCGGGCGCCCGCCGUCCCCUAAAUCUAGUGGCGGUCCCGCUGCAGCCUCCUCUGCGUAGUAGUUUUCUCCUCGCAAGGGCAGUUCGGUGGCGACCUCGCCGUAAAACCCCCAACUUCUGAAAGGUUGACCUCGAAUCAGGUAGGAAUACCCGCUGAACUUAAGCAUAUCAAUAAGCGGAGGA